UACGAAGGGGGCUAGCGUUGUUCGGAAUUACUGGGCGUAAAGCGCACGUAGGCGGAUAUUUAAGUCAGGGGUGAAAUCCCGGGGCUCAACCCCGGAACUGCCUUUGAUACUGGGUAUCUCGAGUCCGAGAGAGGUGAGUGGAAUUCCGAGUGUAGAGGUGAAAUUCGUAGAUAUUCGGAGGAACACCAGUGGCGAAGGCGGCUCACUGGUCCAUUACUGACGCUGAGGUGCGAAAGCGUGGGGAGCAAACAGG
RNAcentral lists this ribosomal RNA (253 nucleotides) under uncultured bacterium. Its description in RNAcentral is "partial 16S ribosomal RNA". It matches the Rfam family "Bacterial small subunit ribosomal RNA", at positions 524 to 776 of the family's 1533-position model. The record is from RNAcentral.